This 253-nucleotide ribosomal RNA is filed under the name uncultured bacterium. Its description in RNAcentral is "partial 16S ribosomal RNA". It matches the Rfam family "Bacterial small subunit ribosomal RNA", at positions 524 to 776 of the family's 1533-position model. The record is from RNAcentral.
UACGUAGGGGGCAAGCGUUGUCCGGAAUCACUGGGCGUAAAGCGCGCGCAGGCGGUCAUCUACGUCUGGGGUGAAAGCCCGGAGCUCAACUCCGGGACUGCCUUGGAUACGGGAUGACUUGAGGAUCGGAGAGGCAAGGGGAAUUCCACGUGUAGCGGUGAAAUGCGUAGAGAUGUGGAGGAACACCUGUGGCGAAGGCGGCUAGCUGGGUUCACAUUGACGCUGAGGCUCGAAAGCGUGGGGAGCAAACAGG